UGGGGAAUAUUGGACAAUGGGCGAAAGCCUGAUCCAGCCACGCCGCGUGUGUGAAGAAGGUCUUCGGAUUGUAAAGCACUUUAAGUUGGGAGGAAGGGCAGUAAGCGAAUACCUUGCUGUUUUGACGUUACCGACAGAAUAAGCACCGGCUAACUCUGUGCCAGCAGCCGCGGUAAUACAGAGGGUGCAAGCGUUAAUCGGAAUUACUGGGCGUAAAGCGCGCGUAGGUGGUUCGUUAAGUUGAAUGUGAAAGCCCCGGGCUCAACCUGGGAACUGCAUCCAAAACUGGCGAGCUAGAGUAGGGCAGAGGGUGGUGGAAUUUACUGUGUAGCGGUGAAAUGCGUAGAUAUAGGAAGGAACACCAGUGGCGAAGGCGACCACCUGGGCUCAUACUGACACUGAGGUGCGAAAGCGUGGGGAGCAAACAGG
Molecule: ribosomal RNA, 429 nt
Filed under: Pseudomonadota bacterium
Lineage: Bacteria; Pseudomonadati; Pseudomonadota
Description: Proteobacteria bacterium partial 16S ribosomal RNA
Rfam family: Bacterial small subunit ribosomal RNA
Source: RNAcentral